UUGGCUCUUGAUUACUUUCUGCUUGCUGGUGAUCACUUUAUCCAGGGUUAUUCAAUCUUUGACCUAGGGUUAUCAUCUAAAUUCGAUCCCCAAUUUCUCUCUCCUCAAGUCCUCAGUCUCUACCUCAGAUUUCAAUCUCUCUCCUUAGUCUUUACCUCAGAUUUCUCUCCUCAAGCUACGUGACUUUCUUAUCUUUUUUCUCCAUUGAAGAAGCUUCCGAGCCUUUUUGUUCCUCCAUUAAAGCGAAUUCUGAGCUUUCCAUUUACUGAAGCAGCUUACAAGGUUCAAUCUGAUCGAAAAUUAAUGUCGGGAUCUCUUUAUCGAUUUGCUCGCUUUCAUUCUGGGUAUGUAAAAUUUUGAUGAUUUAAUUUCCAGUGUUCUAGGUCGAAUUGUCGCUCAUGGAUUUCUAGGUUUUUGGGCCAACUCAAUGAUUCCAAGCCUGGGAUGUACAGUCGAGCAAUCUUUAAGGGAAUUUGAAAGACAGAACAAACCUCUUUUUCUACAAUUGAAAGAGGUUUGAUUCCUUCCACUGUGAUCAGAGAGGGAUUAUCUUGAAAUUUCUUCAGAUUCUUACAAUUUGAAGAUUUUAAAGGUUUAGAUUUUUUUUGGUGGGAGAUCUAUUGUUAGCGCCUAUUGAUCAUUACUCAGCGGCUCAUGCUGGCCCUUGAAAGUCGAGGUGCAUGCGGUGGGAUUAAAUCAUGAGUAAGGGUAAUACGAGGCUUUCAUGUAGCAAUGGGAUGCGGUUCAGGGAUAUUUCUAUAGCUAAUUCAAAAGGUGAAUGCUGAUGCAAAGAAUGGAAUUUCAUGGCAAAAGAGGAGAUUGAGAAGAAGAUGGAGCUUUGUGAGCGAGUUCAAGCUCAACUCGGUCGAGUCAAGGAGGAGACUAUAAAUCAUAAUAGAUAGUGUAAGGAUGUUGGAGGAAAAUCUAAACAUGAUAUUUGGAGGUAUAGAGGUUCUGAAGUUUCCUAUGGUUGUAGCAAUGGCAGCAGUAAAUUCAUGAUGUGAAGUACUUUCCUCCCGUUUCUCUGUUUUCUUUCUGAAAUAGUCGGAAGGAGGAGGAUGGAGCAAGGUUUGCUCGUUUCGAGUUCGAGGUGGAUAAACUCAAGUAUUAUUUGAUGUUCGACCUAUUUUUUGUGCAUAACACUCUGUGGAAAGAUAGAGAUUUGGAGUGCUUGGUUUUUUGCACCUCGUUGGAGAGUACAAAAGAUACAAUGUUGCUGUUGUGUGAAAAUUGACUCAGCAGACCA
Molecule: long non-coding RNA, 1246 nt
Organism: Chenopodium quinoa (quinoa)
Lineage: Eukaryota; Viridiplantae; Streptophyta; Magnoliopsida; Caryophyllales; Amaranthaceae
Exons: 9
Source: RefSeq, a predicted model, not a curated record